Molecule: ribosomal RNA, 253 nt
Filed under: uncultured bacterium
Lineage: Bacteria
Description: partial 16S ribosomal RNA
Rfam family: Bacterial small subunit ribosomal RNA
Source: RNAcentral
UACGUAGUGUGCAAGCGUUAAUCGGAAUUACUGGGCGUAAAGCGCACGCAGGCGGUUGGUUAAGUCAGAUGUGAAAGCCCCGGGCUCAACCUGGGAAUUGCAUUUGAAACUGGCCAACUAGAGUACGUGAGAGGGGGGUAGAAUUCCAAGUGUAGCGGUGAAAUGCGUAGAGAUUUGGAGGAAUACCAGUGGCGAAGGCGGCCCCCUGGCACGAUACUGACGCUCAGGUGCGAAAGCGUGGGGAGCAAACAGG